This 494-nucleotide long non-coding RNA is filed under the name Rattus norvegicus (Norway rat). Its description in RNAcentral is "long non-coding RNA NONRATT027202". Lineage: Eukaryota; Metazoa; Chordata; Mammalia; Rodentia; Muridae. The record is from RNAcentral.
CCCAGAGACCAGCAGGGCGCCGUGUGAGUCUUAGGCUGAGUGCUGAGCUGUGCGUGCGCUGAGAACCCACGAAUCCAGACAAAGAUACGAGGGAGGAGCAGCAGCCCUGGGCAGCGUUGGAGAUUACAGAGAACCGGAAGUCAGACUUCUAAACAGUUAUCGUGGGGAUACAUACAGUGUGGAUCCGCCUCAAAAACUUUGUGCCCAGAGCCCACUCACAACUCCUUGGCUCCUAGCUUCUUCUUUUACCUCCGGAGACAGAAGGACGGGGCUAAAGAUCUGCCUUCUCACACUGCCAUCCUGUUCUCCAGUUUCCAUGGUUACAUCUCCUUUUCUGACUUGAACACUCUCCUGCCUCCCACUUUUACUUAGGAAGACCCUGUGGUUAAUUCUGUGCCCAUCAGGGUGAUUCAAGGCCAGCUUCCAUCUCAAGACAAGCUGGGGAGACCCUUGAUUUUCCAUCUUCAAUCUGACAUUAAAUCUGACAUAAUCAC